GACAGAGGCCACAAGCGUUAGGCGGAAUCACUGGGCUUAAAGCGUGUGUAGGCGGGCCGUUAAGUGCCUUGUGAAAUCCCAUCGCUCAACGAUGGAAUGGCUGGGCAGACUGGCGGUCUUGAGCCACCUAGGGGCAACUGGAACAAACGGUGGAGCGGUGAAAUGCGUAGAUAUCGUUUGGAACGCCAACGGUGAAAACAGGUUGCUGGGGGUGUGCUGACGCUGAGACACGAAAGCCAGGGGAGCAAACGGG
Molecule: ribosomal RNA, 253 nt
Filed under: uncultured bacterium
Lineage: Bacteria
Description: partial 16S ribosomal RNA
Rfam family: Bacterial small subunit ribosomal RNA
Source: RNAcentral